AGCAGCCGCGGUAAUUCCAGCUCCAAUAGCGUAUAUUAAAGUUGUUGCAGUUAAAAAGCUCGUAGUUGAAUUUCGGGGUUAGUAGGUUGGUCAUGCCUCUGGUAUGUACUGGUCUCACUGAUUCCUCCUUCCUGAUGAGCCGUAAUGCCAUUAAUUUGGUGUUGCGGGGAAUUUGGACUGUUACUUUGAAAAAAUUAGAGUGUUUAAAGCAAGCUAACGCUUGAAUACAUUAGCAUGGAAUAAUGAAAUAGGACGUUCGAUCCUAUUUUGUUGGUUUCUAGGAUUGACGUAAUGAUUAAUAGGGAUAGUUGGGGGCAUUAGUAUUCAAUUGUCAGAGGUGAAAUUCUUGGAUUUAUUGAAGACUAACUACUGCGAAAGCAUUUGCCAAGGAUGUUUUCAUUAAUCAAGAACGAAAGUUAGGGGAUCGAAGACGAUCAGAUACCGUCGUAGUCUUAACCAUAAACUAUGCCGACUAGGGAUCGGAUGAUGUUAAUUUU
This 497-nucleotide ribosomal RNA is filed under the name uncultured Glomus. RNAcentral's name for it is "SSU rRNA". It matches the Rfam family "Eukaryotic small subunit ribosomal RNA", at positions 569 to 1070 of the family's 1831-position model. Lineage: Eukaryota; Fungi; Glomeromycota; Glomeromycetes; Glomerales; Glomeraceae. The record is from RNAcentral.